GUUUCGCAACAGGAGCGCGUGUUUCACAUCACCUGUAAUUGGUUAAUCAGUUUCAGUUUAAAUAAACGCAUGUAGGUGACUUACCUGACCGAGCGCCUGCAGUCGUGCCGCAGAGCCAGAGUUUACAGCAGUGAGUCCAGUCUUAGUGAAAGAGGGAGCUGCAACGAAGGAUGCCAAAUGAAACACGGUGCAAUAUGGCGAUGAAGAUGUCACUCGGACCAGUUGACGAACACUGAUGGCCCUUCUGCAGAACAGCUCAGGAAUACAGCGACAUCCUGGAUGCCUACGUCCUUUUCUUCAAACAUCCAUCCCUCUGUCUAUCCUCUAUAUCUCUUAUCCCUUGUGAGGCGCAGGGGGGCUUGAGCCAAUCCCAGCAGACAUUGGGCCUAAGGUAGGAUACAUCCUGGACAACUCACCAGUGUAUUGCAGCACUGACGUAUAGAGACAAACAUCCAUUCACACUGACAUUCAAACCUACGCUCGAUUCAGAAGUGAAUGAGGAAGCUGCCGUUCCUUAAACUCACUCCGGCAUGGGGGAGAACACAGCCGGCCGUCUAGUUGGAACCCAGGAGAUGACCGUGCUAACCACGGCUUUCAUCAAACAAAGGAGCAGCAAUAUUCAUGAAAUCCAACACGCAGCAAGAGCAGUUGUGAUAUAAAAUGGCACAGUUAAAAUGAGCUUAUUCUGGUUUUAGCUCUCAGGUCUGUUGGUAACAAGAUGCCUCUUCUGGAAUGCAUCUCAGCCAAAGCCUUCACUGCUGUCUGUCACUGCACCGCCACUGACUCAUUAGUUCAGAGAGAGAGAGAGAGAGAGAGGUAAUGUAAAUCGUUUUUAUUUAUCAGAAUUAUAUUCUGGCCUUUAUCAAGACUCCCUUUGCUUUGGUUCCUUUCACUGAGGCUAAAGUGGAGAUCUCUGGAUUUGUAUCCAUCCUAUCCUAUAAAGAGCCUGAAUGUGUUCCUCCCAGUUCAUCUGACCUUGCAACGAGGGGGAUGACAUCUUCCCCUGACUGCUGUUUCCCAGUAAAUCACUCUGUUUUGUAAAAUAAUGAAUGGGGGUCAGAGCAAAGUUUACCGUCAUAAUUAUUAACUUGCUGACUCCACUUUUUUUCUCUGAAAAAAAACAGGAGUUCACAGUUUGUUCUAACCCAAGCCUGAGACGUCUACCGGCCAUAUCAUAAAA
Molecule: long non-coding RNA, 1180 nt
Organism: Platichthys flesus (European flounder)
Lineage: Eukaryota; Metazoa; Chordata; Actinopteri; Pleuronectiformes; Pleuronectidae
Exons: 3
Source: RefSeq, a predicted model, not a curated record